RNAcentral lists this ribosomal RNA (440 nucleotides) under uncultured bacterium. RNAcentral's name for it is "partial 16S ribosomal RNA". It matches the Rfam family "Bacterial small subunit ribosomal RNA", at positions 338 to 795 of the family's 1533-position model. The record is from RNAcentral.
CCUACGGGAGGCUGCAGUAGGGAAUAUUGCUCAAUGGGGGAAACCCUGAAGCAGCAACGCCGCGUGGAGGAUGAAGGUUUUCGGAUUGUACACUCCUUUUGUUAGAGAAGAUAAUGACGGUAUCUAACGAAUAAGCACCGGCUAACUCCGUGCCAGCAGCCGCGGUCAUACGGAGGGUGCAAGCGUUACUCGGAAUCACUGGGCGUAAAGAGCGCGUAGGCGGGAUAGCAAGUCAGAUGUGAAAUCCUAUGGCUUAACCAUAGAACUGCAUUUGAAACUGUUAUUCUAGAGUAUGGGAGAGGUAGGGGGAAUUCUUGGUGUAGGGGUAAAAUCCGUAGAGAUCAAGAGGAAUACUCAUUGCGAAGGCGACCUGCUAGAACAUAACUGACGCUGAUGCGCGAAAGCGUGGGGAGCAAACAGGAUGAGAUACCCCAGUAGUC